AUGCCCUCACCCACACCCACACUCACCCCGGUGACUCCGACACCAGCACCGACCCCGACUGUCUUCAUCCCUCCACCUACAAACACUCCGGCACCCACGCCCAUACCGGCCUCUGUAACUCCAACAUCGGCACCGACCCCUAUGAUGCCUCCAAUACCAACCCCUAUAACUCCGACGCCGGUACCAGCUCCUCUCUCUCCAACACCAACAUGGGUGGCCCCAACAGCUACAGUCGUGAUGCCGCCAACACAGACGCAUGUGACACUAACGCCAUCACCGACCCCUGUCUCUCCAACGCCAAACCCGGUGGCCCCAACACCAACGCCUAUGAUGCCGCCAACACCGACGCCGGCAUCGACCCCUGUCUCUCCAACGCCAAGUCCGGUGGCCCCAACACCGACCAUGUGGUUCCGACGCCAGCACCAACCCCUGUCUCUCCAACGCCAUCCCCAGUGA
This 456-nucleotide ribosomal RNA is filed under the name Triticum aestivum (bread wheat). Its description in RNAcentral is "partial small subunit ribosomal RNA". The record is from RNAcentral. Lineage: Eukaryota; Viridiplantae; Streptophyta; Magnoliopsida; Poales; Poaceae.